UACGGAGGGGGCAAGCGUUGUUCGGAAUUAUUGGGCGUAAAGCGUAUGUAGGCGGCUAAGCAAGUCAGGCGUGCAAGCCCGUGGCUCAACCACGGAAUUGCGUUUGAAACUGCUUAGCUUGAGUACAGGGGGGGAAAGCGGAAUUCCCAGUGUAGCGGUGAAAUGCAUUGAUAUUGGGAAGAACAUCUGUGGCGAAGGCGGCUUUCUGGUCUGUUACUGACACUGAGGUGCGAAAGCGUGGGUAGCGAACAGG
This 253-nucleotide ribosomal RNA is filed under the name uncultured bacterium. RNAcentral's name for it is "partial 16S ribosomal RNA". It matches the Rfam family "Bacterial small subunit ribosomal RNA", at positions 524 to 776 of the family's 1533-position model. The record is from RNAcentral.